UACGUAGGAGGCGAGCGUUGUCCGGAUUUAUUGGGCGUAAAGCGCUCGCAGGCGGCUCGAUGCGUCGUGCGUGAAACACCCCGGCUCAACUGGGGAGGGUCGUGCGAUACGGUCGAGCUUGAGGCCAGUAGGGGAGUGCGGAAUUCCGGGUGUAGUGGUGGAAUGCGUAGAGAUCCGGAGGAACACCAGCGGCGAAGGCGGCAUCCUGGACUGGUACUGACGCUCAGGAGCGAAAGCGUGGGAGCGAGUCGG
This 252-nucleotide ribosomal RNA is filed under the name uncultured bacterium. Its description in RNAcentral is "partial 16S ribosomal RNA". It matches the Rfam family "Bacterial small subunit ribosomal RNA", at positions 524 to 776 of the family's 1533-position model. The record is from RNAcentral.